Molecule: ribosomal RNA, 661 nt
Filed under: Bacillus sp. (in: firmicutes)
Lineage: Bacteria; Bacillati; Bacillota; Bacilli; Caryophanales; Bacillaceae
Description: bacterial SSU rRNA
Rfam family: Bacterial small subunit ribosomal RNA
Source: RNAcentral
UGGGAGCUUGCUCCCUGAGGUUAGCGGCGGACGGGUGAGUAACACGUGGGUAACCUGCCUGUAAGAUUGGGAUAACUCCGGGAAACCGGAGCUAAUACCGGAUAACAUUUUGAACCGCAUGGUUCGAAAUUGAAAGAUGGUUUCGGCUAUCACUUACAGAUGGACCCGCGGCGCAUUAGCUAGUUGGUGAGGUAACGGCUCACCAAGGCGACGAUGCGUAGCCGACCUGAGAGGGUGAUCGGCCACACUGGGACUGAGACACGGCCCAGACUCCUACGGGAGGCAGCAGUAGGGAAUCUUCCGCAAUGGACGAAAGUCUGACGGAGCAACGCCGCGUGAACGAUGAAGGCCUUCGGGUCGUAAAGUUCUGUUGUUAGGGAAGAACAAGUACCAGAGUAACUGCUGGUACCUUGACGGUACCUAACCAGAAAGCCACGGCUAACUACGUGCCAGCAGCCGCGGUAAUACGUAGGUGGCAAGCGUUGUCCGGAAUUAUUGGGCGUAAAGCGCUCGCAGGCGGUUUCUUAAGUCUGAUGUGAAAGCCCACGGCUCAACCGUGGAGGGUCAUUGGAAACUGGGAAACUUGAGUGCAGAAGAGGAGAGUGGAAUUCCACGUGUAGCGGUGAAAUGCGUAGAGAUGUGGAGGAACACCAGUGGCGAA